CGUCAUGUAAACGUUGUUCCCAAUCUAGUGCAUGAAUCUAUAGGCCUAGGUCUAUAUUAUAUAUCACCACUUAGGAAAUAGACGUAUUCGAAGAAGACGGAAUCGGUGCCAAAACAAAUCGAAUGCGCACACUCGGAAUACGUCAGAAGGCCUAGUAAGCCGACUUCGGACAGUGCCUAGAGAGACACGGCGAUCCUUUGUUCAAGGGCCCUCCGUGCCACCCCUGGGGUUUUUAAUGCCACUCGUGCCCACACUCAAGUGUUUUGAAGAAUGUAAAAUCCAGUGUGUGAUAAACAUGUGUAAAGAAACCUUUCGUAAGAAGCCAGAAGAGCUUUACAACAAUCUUGGACUGGGAGAUGGAGGCCAUCAUAAACUUCUUGUAGGAUGAGUUGCCGCAGACAGAGAUGAAAACCAUGAUGAAUGUCCGUGAGCCAGAGGCUAUGAUUUGUUUAGUACAACAAUGCGAGGGUCUUAACAAAAUUGAGGCGGAAAUAUUCUUGAGGCAGUGUCGG
This is a long non-coding RNA of Lineus longissimus, 512 nucleotides long. RefSeq lists it as uncharacterized. The record is from RefSeq and is a predicted model, not a curated record. The transcript is spliced from 5 exons. Lineage: Eukaryota; Metazoa; Nemertea; Pilidiophora; Heteronemertea; Lineidae.